AUUGAACGCUGGCGGCAUGCCUUACACAUGCAAGUCGAACGGCAGCGCGGACUUCGGUCUGGCGGCGAGUGGCGAACGGGUGAGUAAUACAUCGGAACGUACCCUGUUGUGGGGGAUAACUAGUCGAAAGAUUAGCUAAUACCGCAUACGACCUGAGGGUGAAAGUGGGGGACCGCAAGGCCUCACGCAGCAGGAGCGGCCGAUGUCUGAUUAGCUAGUUGGUGGGGUAAAGGCCCACCAAGGCGACGAUCAGUAGCUGGUCUGAGAGGACGAUCAGCCACACUGGGAGUGAGACACGGCCCAGACUCCUACGGGAGGCAGCAGUGGGGAAUUUUGGACAAUGGGGGCAAACCUGAUCCAGCAAUGCCGCGUGUGUGAAGAAGGCCUUCGGGUUGUAAAGAACUUUUGUCCGGAAAGAAAUCGCGCUGGUUAAUACCUGGCGUGGAUGACGGUACCGGAAGAAUAAGCACCGGCUAACUACGUG
Molecule: ribosomal RNA, 484 nt
Filed under: uncultured bacterium
Lineage: Bacteria
Description: partial 16S ribosomal RNA
Rfam family: Bacterial small subunit ribosomal RNA
Source: RNAcentral